This 253-nucleotide ribosomal RNA is filed under the name uncultured bacterium. Its description in RNAcentral is "partial 16S ribosomal RNA". It matches the Rfam family "Bacterial small subunit ribosomal RNA", at positions 524 to 776 of the family's 1533-position model. The record is from RNAcentral.
UACAGAGGGUGCAAGCGGUAUUCGGAUUUAUUGGGCGUAAAGAGCGCGUAGGUGGUUCGAUAAGUCUGGUGUGAAAGCCCUGGACUCAAUCCAGGAAGUGCAUUGGAUACUGUCGGACUAGAGUAUGGGAGAGGAGAGCGGAAUUCCAGGUGUAGAGGUGAAAUUCGUAGAUAUCUGGAGGAACAACAGUAGCGAAGGCGGCUCUCUGGACCAUUACUGACACUGAGGCGCGAAAGCGUGGGGAGCAAACAGG